Molecule: ribosomal RNA, 253 nt
Filed under: uncultured bacterium
Lineage: Bacteria
Description: partial 16S ribosomal RNA
Rfam family: Bacterial small subunit ribosomal RNA
Source: RNAcentral
UACGAAGGCCUCAAGCGUUGUUCGGAUUCACUGGGCGUAAAGAGUGAGCAGAUGUUGAAAUGUGUAAAACGUGAAAUCUUUUGGCUCAACCAAAAAACAGCGUUUGAAACUGUUUCAAUAGAGGAAUCGAGAGAUGUUUGGAAUUUACGGUGUAGCAGUGAAAUGCAUAGAUAUCGUAAGGAAGACCAAUUGCGAAGGCAAAACAUGGGCGAUCUCCUGACAGUCAGUCACUAAAGCCUAGGUAGCAAACGGG